CAUACAUAUCAUGAGUAUAGCCAAUUGCAUCUAAACUCUGAAACUAAGCAGAGUCGAGCUUGGUAGGUACUUCAAUGGAAAUAUUAAGAAGCAGAGCUUUUAAGAAGU
RNAcentral lists this ribosomal RNA (108 nucleotides) under Mus spicilegus (steppe mouse). The record is from RNAcentral. Lineage: Eukaryota; Metazoa; Chordata; Mammalia; Rodentia; Muridae.